UCAAAAUCACGCAAACUUCAUUUCACUACGAGCAAGCUCUCCUUUUAUCGCAUUCGGACGAAAAGGAUGAAGAAUUCAUGUUUAGCUCCGAUUGAGUGUUCUACGAACAGGCUGAGUAAGCUGAUGUCUAUCAGUUCCUAGCUCUUCCCUUGAUUAGAGAUGCUGUUGAUGCAAUCAAUGGGACAAUUAUCACUUAUGGCCAGCUACGUGUGUGUCGGGAGUUUUGAAAACUGAAAAAUUACAAGAGAUACUGCAUCAUAGGAGCUUCGCUGAAUAUGAUCCUCAGCAUUAGCUAAGAAAUGCCCCUAUCAAUUGCAGACUGGAGCUGGGAAGACAUAUGGUAUGGAGGUGGAAAAUUAUCACCUUAAAAGUAGCCUAAAAUGACCUUGUAAAACUUUAAAAUACAACAAUGUAAAUAACUACUUCUGUGAAGCAGGGAUCUGGUAUAUUUGAAUGUGAUGAACAGAAGAAGGGGCUGCUUCCAAGAGUUGUAAAAGGACUUUUUGAUUUCUUAAAUUCUUUGGAUGAAGAGAAAACAUAUUCAAUUAAAUU
This is a long non-coding RNA of Glycine soja, 552 nucleotides long. RefSeq lists it as uncharacterized. Lineage: Eukaryota; Viridiplantae; Streptophyta; Magnoliopsida; Fabales; Fabaceae. The transcript is spliced from 4 exons. The record is from RefSeq and is a predicted model, not a curated record.